GGGCGUGCUGCCGGGGAGGGGAGGGCGGCCGAUUCGGGUCGCUCCGUGCCGCGGGGCUUG
Molecule: unclassified non-coding RNA, 60 nt
Filed under: Sorangium cellulosum So ce56
Lineage: Bacteria; Pseudomonadati; Myxococcota; Polyangiales; Polyangiaceae
Source: RNAcentral